Non-coding RNA from Paramormyrops kingsleyae, 320 nucleotides. Lineage: Eukaryota; Metazoa; Chordata; Actinopteri; Osteoglossiformes; Mormyridae. The record is from RefSeq and is a predicted model, not a curated record.
AGGUGUUGAUUAAAUGAAAUCUAAUCAACAUUAUUAAUUAUUAUUAAUUCACUCAAAAUCUGUAUGUUUUUCUGUUAGUAAUUAAUAUGUAUAUCUGUUUAUGAGAAAAGAAGGGGAGAAAGUUUCAUUUCUUGAUGAGUUCCGUGUGCGUCGCCGCUGUAACGUUAUUGGCGCGUUGCGCGCUCUUGCUUCAGUCCACGGGAGGUCUGAGCAGAGCGAGCAGGAGCAGGCAAGAUUGCACAACGGAUAAUUAACUGCAUGUUUUCUACUUAUGCAGCGUAAAAUACAACUGAACCAGUAGAUUGACUCCGGUGUUUAUU